GGGGGGGGGGGCGGUCUUUUAGAGGAAAAGUACAGUGAGCAUUUAAAAAGCGAUGCCGGUGGUCUGAUGAAAGUCAGAAAUCAGAAAGCCAAAAGAGAAGAUGACGACCCUCGCUGCUGCAUUCAUGUGCCUCGCUGUACUGCUGCGGUCCGCUUCCCCUGGGCAAGAAUUUGAAAGUGUGCAUACAUGUUGUUUGACAACAACAAAUACAAUAAUCCGUGUGGGCCUGGUUGAUCACUAUCGCGUAGAGAAGAAAGGAUUGUGUCCCGUGGAUGCAGUGGUCUUUUUCACCGUUAGAGGACUCUCAAUCUGCUCCAAUCCCUCACACCCCUGGACACAAAGAGCCAUGGCAACUGUGGAUAGCAGGAGAAGGACAACCCCAACCACGAGCACCGCAUCACCCAACGCGUCACUGCUGAGCACCACCGACAAAACUAUGCGAUAACUUUUCCUGUGCAUAAUAAUAAUAAUUACCCACAUAAUAAUCUAAAACAUUAAUCUCAUAAUUACCUACAGAUAAUGUUCUAAAAUUCUGGAAUAUAAUAACCACUUACUCCGCUAAUAUCAUUUUCAACCCCCUCCCAUUUUAUUCCCUUCCAAAUUUUUAAUCGCCAGUUUCCACUUCUAUCAACUGCUUCCAAGCAGCAGUUGAUAUGUGUAAACUCCUCCAAUGCACUUGUCCACAUGCCAAAAACCUACAGCAGAAACUAAGAUACAAAUGCAUCAGGAUUGGAGGUCAUUUAGAACUCCAAAAUGUUCCUGAGUUUGAAGGUGACACCAACAUAAACGUAUUAAAGAAAUUAAACCCUUUGUUGAUUUGAAUUGUUACUUACAUUGCUGUUGUCAGAUUUUUAAAUAAAUAUCUUACUCUUA
This is a long non-coding RNA of Anguilla anguilla (European eel), 873 nucleotides long. RefSeq lists it as uncharacterized. The transcript is spliced from 3 exons. Lineage: Eukaryota; Metazoa; Chordata; Actinopteri; Anguilliformes; Anguillidae. The record is from RefSeq and is a predicted model, not a curated record.